Molecule: non-coding RNA, 74 nt
Organism: Podarcis lilfordi (Lilford's wall lizard)
Lineage: Eukaryota; Metazoa; Chordata; Lepidosauria; Squamata; Lacertidae
Source: the annotation of a GenBank genome assembly
UUCAUGGUAGCUCUGUUGGCAGAGCAUGAGAUUCUUAAUCUUAAGGUCAUAGGUUCGAGCCCAACUCUACGAUU